GAUCAACGCUGGCGGCGUGCAUGAGACAUGCAAGUCGAACGAAGGAUCGGGCUUGCUCGAUCCUUAGUGGCGGACGGCUGAGUAACGCGUAGGUGACCUACCCCGAAGUGGGGAAUAACUGCCCGAAAGGGUGGCUAAUACCGCAUGUGGUCGCACGUUCAUUCGUGCGACUAAAGCCGCAAGGCGCUUCGGGAGGGGCCUGCGUCCGAUUAGCUCGUUGGUGGGGUAAUGGCUUACCAAGGCGACGAUCGGUAGGUGGUCUGAGAGGACGAUCACCCAGACUGGGACUGAGACACGGCCCAGACUCCUACGGGAGGCAGCAGUCGGGAAUUUUGCUCAAUGGGGGAAACCCUGAAGCAGCAACGCCGCGUGAGGGAUGAAGGCCUUCGGGUUGUAAACCUCUUUUGUCAGGGACGAUGAUGACGGUACCUGGCGAAUAAGCCACGGCUAACUACGUG
RNAcentral lists this ribosomal RNA (458 nucleotides) under uncultured bacterium. RNAcentral's name for it is "partial 16S ribosomal RNA". It matches the Rfam family "Bacterial small subunit ribosomal RNA", at positions 28 to 507 of the family's 1533-position model. The record is from RNAcentral.